RNAcentral lists this ribosomal RNA (2622 nucleotides) under Triticum aestivum (bread wheat). RNAcentral describes it as "partial small subunit ribosomal RNA". The record is from RNAcentral. Lineage: Eukaryota; Viridiplantae; Streptophyta; Magnoliopsida; Poales; Poaceae.
AUGCCCAACGGUUUCAUAAGCAUCGACUGUGGAUAUACUGCAAACCAGACCUACACAGAUAGCAGGACAGGCAUAUCAUAUGCAAGCGAUGAGGGUUACAUUGAUGCAGGACUGAUCCACCCUGUUGAUAAAAGUAAUCUGCAGACUGACCUUGCAGACCGAUACCUUAACCUUUGCUUCUUUCCCAGUGGAGAGCGUAACUGCUACACGCUGCGGUUCUUUACACUGGGUGGCAAGUACCUUGUCAGGGCUGCAUUUGGCUAUGGUGACUAUGAUAAACUAAACAAAAAUCCUACCUUUGAUCUCUAUUUUGGGGUCAAUUACUGGACAACAGUGACCAUUGUCAGUUCCAGUACAGCAUAUGUGUUUGAGAUAAUUGCCGUGUGCCCUGCCGACUUCCUACAAAUUUGCUUGGUGAAUAAAGGAUCGGGAACUCCUUUCAUCUCAGGGCUUGACUUGAGGUCACUGACAUCAGAUCUUUAUCUGGAGGCCAAUGUGACACAGUCUCUGGUUUUGCUCAGCUUUUUCCGUGAUACAGUUGGUUUUGGGCCCAACCGCUAUCACUUUGGGACAAACUAUCAACACAUUAGGUUCCCAGAUGACCCCUACGACCGUAUGUGGCAGAGGUAUGAAAACGUAGACGGCUGGACAGACGUACCCAACAAAUCCAAUGGGGAAAUAAAAAACUCCACAAACGACAACUAUGAUGCACCAUCUGCAGUGAUGCGUAGUGCAUCCACUCCAGUGAAUGACUCAAGGAUGGACUUAUCGUGGAGUUCAGAUUCUUCCAUGAAUGUUGGUGUUGACCCCAAGUUCUUUCUUGUACUCUACUUUGCCGAGUUGGAAGCAGUCCAAGAGUUAAGGCAAUUUGAUGUCUCUGUGGAUAACAACCCAUUAGCUUCUGCAUUCAGCCCAAAAUUCUUGCUGCCUACUGUUCUCUCAGGGAUUGUGCAAGGCUCAAACGAGCAUAGCGUCUCCCUUGUGGCAACAUCAAACUUGGCGCUUCAGCCUUUGAUCAACGCGAUGGAGAUAUACAUGGUGCGGCCAGUGAAUGAAUCUAACUCUUUAGAUGCCAACGCUAUGAUGACCAUCCAGGAGAAGUUCUCUGUGAAAAAAAAUUGGGUGGGUGAUCCAUGUGCCCCUAUAUCUUUUGCAUGGAAUGGCUUGAACUGUAGUUAUACUACCAACAGUCCUCCAAGAAUAACAGCCUUAAACAUGUCAUCCAGUGGAUUGGUUGGUGAAAUUGAUGCUUCUUUUGGUCAGCUAACACUGCUCCAACACUUGGAUCUAUCUCACAACAGUCUGUCUGGAUCAAUACCUGUUUUUCUUGGUCAAGUGCCAGCACUUCAAUUUCUGGACUUGUCGAGCAACAACCUCAGUGGAUCAAUUCCUUGGAGUCUGCUAGAAAAAACUCAGCGUGGGCUUUUGACUUUAAGGGUCGACAAUAACCCAGGCCUUUGUGGAAAUAAUACAUGCAAUCCGAUUCAGAAAAAGAGGAGGAACAAGACAAAACUACUUCAGAUUGUUAUUUCAGUAAUUGUUGCAGUAUCACUACUAGUUCUGGCUGUAUUUUUGUUUGUCAUUUGGGACAGAAGGAAGAAGAGGCCAGAUCUGGCUCAUUCAACUAAUACAUUUGAGAACCGGAGAUUCACUUACAAGGAACUUAAGCACAUCACAAAUAACUUCAAUAGUGUAAUUGGAAGGGGCGGGUUUGGCCUUGUCUAUGUUGGUUGUUUGGAGAAUGGUGCUUUGGUUGCUGUGAAGAUGCGGUCAGAAACAUCUUCACAAGGGAAUACAGAGUUUUUGGCCGAGGCUCAGCACCUGGCCAGGGUUCACCACAAGAACUUGGUCUCCUUGAUUGGCUAUUGCAAGGACAAGAAACAUUUAAGCCUUGUCUACGAGUACAUGGAUGAAGGAAACUUAGAGGACCGUCUCAGAGGUCAAGAAUCUCUUAAUUGGCUGCAGCGCCUUAAAAUUGCAUUGGACUCUGCUCACGGACUGGAGUACCUACACAAAUCUUGCAGCCCGCCAUUGAUCCACAGAGAUGUUAAGACCGGGAACAUCCUUCUUACCACAAAUCUCCAGGCCAAGUUAUCAGAUUUUGGGCUGACAAGGGCUUUCAGCAGUGAAAUGGUAACACACAUGACCACCCGACCUGCUGGUACCCUCGGAUACCUGGACCCGGAGUACUACGCCACCUCUCAUCUCAGCGAGAAGAGUGAUGUGUACAGCUUCGGCGUGGUCCUCCUGGUGCUCAUCACAGGCCAGCGAGCGAUCAUCACCAUUAGCGACACAGAGAGGAAUAAUAUCACUAUUUGGGCGCGCCACGGGCUGUCUGAAGGUGACAUUGACAGCGUGAUCGACCCGAGGAUAAGAGGGGACUGCGACAUCAACUCCGUGUGGAAGGUAGCGGAGCUGGCACUCCAAUGCACUCAGCACACGGGGCGGGACCGGCCAACGAUGACGGAGGUCGCGGAGGGGAUCAGCGAGAGCUUGCAGCUGGAGACCUCGUCGCGAUCCAUGAGGUGCAGCUCGAGUGGGACAGGCGGUUCAGCACUCGCUGACGGCGAGCCUGUUGGUGCGCUUGAGACGGAACUGAUUGGAGAAACAUCAGCGCGUUGA